RNAcentral lists this unclassified non-coding RNA (128 nucleotides) under uncultured Ascomycota. Its description in RNAcentral is "sequence contains ITS2". Lineage: Eukaryota; Fungi; Ascomycota. The record is from RNAcentral.
UGAUCAAUAAGGCUCUGCCUUGCGUUGAGUCUUCCUUCCCAGGAGGACUCCAAACCCCUGGGCGUUUGCUGUGCCUGAAUCCACAACACACUGUGGCGAAGAGCGCGGCGGCUGCCAGUAUGCGUCUC